Molecule: ribosomal RNA, 355 nt
Filed under: Bifidobacterium adolescentis
Lineage: Bacteria; Bacillati; Actinomycetota; Actinomycetes; Bifidobacteriales; Bifidobacteriaceae
Description: bacterial SSU rRNA
Rfam family: Bacterial small subunit ribosomal RNA
Source: RNAcentral
GGGUGGUAAUGCCGGAUGCUCCAGUUGACCGCAUGGUCCUCUGGGAAAGAUUCAUCGGUAUGGGAUGGGGUCGCGUCCUAUCAGCUUGAUGGCGGGGUAACGGCCCACCAUGGCUUCGACGGGUAGCCGGCCUGAGAGGGCGACCGGCCACAUUGGGACUGAGAUACGGCCCAGACUCCUACGGGAGGCAGCAGUGGGGAAUAUUGCACAAUGGGCGCAAGCCUGAUGCAGCGACGCCGCGUGCGGGAUGACGGCCUUCGGGUUGUAAACCGCUUUUGACUGGGAGCAAGCCCUUCGGGGUGAGUGUACCUUUCGAAUAAGCACCGGCUAACUACGUGCCAACAGCCGCGGUAAU